Dendrobium catenatum is the source of this 107-nucleotide small nucleolar RNA. Lineage: Eukaryota; Viridiplantae; Streptophyta; Magnoliopsida; Asparagales; Orchidaceae. The record is from RefSeq and is a predicted model, not a curated record.
AAGGUAUGUUGAAAGCACUUUCUAAGCAUCUCCUUGAAUCUCUCCUAACUCUUAUAAAUAGAUUCUACUUUUAACUGAGUAAAAGAAGUAAUGUCAUUUCUAAGCUU